GACGAACGCUGGCGGCGUGCUUAACACAUGCAAGUCGAACGGGAUUUAGUAAACAGAAGCCUCGGUGGAAGAUUACUAAUGAGAGUGGCGAACGGGUGAGUAACGCGUGAGCAACCUGCCUAUGACAGUGGGAUAGCCUCGGGAAACCGGGAUUAAUACCGCAUAAAAUCGUAGAAACACAUGUUUUAACGGUCAAAGAUUUAUCGGUCAUAGAUGGGCUCGCGUCUGAUUAGCUAGUUGGUGAGAUAACAGCCCACCAAGGCGACGAUCAGUAGCCGGUCUGAGAGGAUGAACGGCCACAUUGGAACUGAGGCACGGUCCAAACUCCUACGGGAAGCAGCAGUGGGGAAUAUUGCACAAUGGGGGAAACCCUGAUGCAGCGACGCCGCGUGAACGAAGAAGGUAUUCAUAUCGUAAAGUUCUGUCCUAUGGGAAGAUAAUGACAGUACCAUAGAAGAAAGCUCCGGCUAAAUACGUG
This 478-nucleotide ribosomal RNA is filed under the name uncultured bacterium. RNAcentral's name for it is "partial 16S ribosomal RNA". It matches the Rfam family "Bacterial small subunit ribosomal RNA", at positions 28 to 507 of the family's 1533-position model. The record is from RNAcentral.